This 216-nucleotide ribosomal RNA is filed under the name Glomeromycotina sp. RNAcentral describes it as "partial small subunit ribosomal RNA". The stretch from base 40 to 216 matches the Rfam family "Eukaryotic small subunit ribosomal RNA", at positions 686 to 864 of the family's 1831-position model. The record is from RNAcentral. Lineage: Eukaryota; Fungi; Glomeromycota.
GGGUCAGUAGGUUGGUCGUGCCACCGGUACGUACUGGUCUCACUGAUUCCUCCUUCCUGAAGAACCGUAAUGCCAUUAAUUUGGUGUUGCGGGGAGACAGGACUGUUACUUUGAAAAAAUUAGAGUGUUUAAAGCAAGCUAACGCUUGAAUACAUUAGCAUGGAAUAGUGAAAUAGGACGAUCGAUCCUAUUUUGUUGGUUUCUAGGAUUGACGUA